UACGUAGGGGGCAAGCGUUGUCCGGAUUUAUUGGGCGUAAAGAGCGUGUAGGCGGCCGUACAGGUCAGCUGUGAAAACUCGAGGCUCAACCUCGAGACGUCGGUUGAAACCGUACGGCUAGAGUCCGGAAGAGGAGAGUGGAAUUCCCGGUGUAGCGGUGAAAUGCGCAGAUAUCGGGAAGAACACCCGUGGCGAAGGCGG
This 201-nucleotide ribosomal RNA is filed under the name uncultured bacterium. Its description in RNAcentral is "partial 16S ribosomal RNA". It matches the Rfam family "Bacterial small subunit ribosomal RNA", at positions 524 to 724 of the family's 1533-position model. The record is from RNAcentral.